CUAGUGAAUGACUCCACCGGGCACCCUUAGUUCUACCAAAGGGCAGGAAGUGAAUUCAAACAAGUCCUCAAAAGUGUUGACAGUAAAUACUAUUUAUUUAUUUACUUAUUUAUUCACUUAUUUAAGGUGCUGAGGAUUCAACUCAGGAUCUCAUGCAGGCCAACCAUGCACUCUACCACCAAGCUACAUCAGCAGCCUAAUUUAAUCAUUUUAUGUACCAGUCACUAGCCAUAGCACCUUAUAAACACAACCUAUCCUUCCCUGCAAACCUAGGCAGUUAGCAUGAAUAAACCUACCUACAAAUGAGGAAAUGGAAGCUGGAAAAGUUACUGCACAUGUACUAUUAAUUAGGGGCAGAGCUGUUUCUAACCCAAGUUCUCCUGACUCCAAAGGCUUUGUUCCUGGACCUAUGGAUGGUGUGCCUUGGUUUCUGCUUGCUGGCUUAUUUUCAUUCCUGGAUCGCAGCUUUAAACUCACUCACUUUAAACUCCAACACCAUGACUGGCAAAUAAACUUUCCUGGCAAUGAAGGCAGCUGCUGUUUCCUGUGUUUAGAGACCACAUUGCAGGGAAGUGUUUUAAGAGUUGUUUUGAGUGUUGUGUCUGCCCCUCCAUGCAAAGUGUGGAUGCCGCUUCUGAGAAAGAGGAAGGUGACGUGGAAUGCUCAGUGUUAGGUGGCAGUUCCCAUUUGCUGGGGAUUUGCAGAGGAAUUUGUAUGUCACAGGAUGAGAUCUGAGCCUUUGUUCUCUUUGGUCUGAGAGCAUGUGGUCUAUGAAAUCAAUGGACUGUGAGGUCAAAGUUCUAGUGCUAGCUCAGCUGCUGAUGUGUCCUGGAACUUCGGGUGAGACAGUUUAUGUCUGCCUUGCCCAUCUGUGCAAUUUAGUUCUCCAGAGUUGUAAGGAGCACUUCUAAUGAGCCAAGCAUGGUAUAGGUCAGUGGACCUCAGAGAUAAACAAUGUACCUCCUGGCCACAGUAACCCCUGCAAUUAGGAAAGGCACAGAGACAUAAGUGGUAGUCACAAAAGUAAGUAUGUUGAAAGGGGAGCUACUGGUCCAGUUUUCAAAGGACCAACUUGGAAUGUCAGGGAAUCUGGAAAGUCUUAAUUAAAUAAAGACUUGCCAUGGUGCUGUGUUAUUGUACUCAUCUCAAUCCUGAAGAAAGUAGUAAAUAGUUUUUCCAUUUUACAGAUGAGAAAAGUGAGACAGAUACAUUAAAAGGGUUAACCAAUUUGGAAGGACUCUACAAAUAUUCAGAUUCAUCUGGAUUUGGAGCCCAUUGUCUUUCCACAUUACCCAAAAAGCCCUUUGAAGAUUUCAUUUAUUGGGGGAACUGGGUGUGUUCUAUAAAAAUUGUUUUUAGUUUUUUUCGGUGCUGGGGCUUGAACCCAGGGCCCUGCCCUUGCCAGCCAAUAGCUCUACCACUGAGCUACAAGAUCCCAUCCCCUCAAGAUUCCAUUUUAUUUGCUUAUUUAUUAUUUUUUAUGUUGCUGGGGCCUCACACAUACUAGGCAAGUGCUCUACUAUUUAGCUAUGUCUCAGGUCCUUUUUAUUUUAUUCUGAGACAGGCUGGCUUUGAGCUUGGGAUCCUCCUGACUGUAACUGGGAUGACAGGUAUGCAUAGCUGAGGAUUCCAUUUUAAAGUUUCAAAAUACUGACAAUCUGACAUUCCUGCACUGUGGAGUUGUCUUCCAUUACCUUCCCCAAGGCUCUUUAUGUGUCUGAGUAUCAUGAUUGCUGUCAAUCAGGAGUUAAUCACAGUCUGGCUGCCGCUUGUCUUUCCAUCCUCUUCUCUUCCACCCUCCACCCCCUAUAACCGUGCCCUCUGUGCAGCUCAGCC
This 1836-nucleotide long non-coding RNA is filed under the name Marmota monax (woodchuck). The record is from RNAcentral. Lineage: Eukaryota; Metazoa; Chordata; Mammalia; Rodentia; Sciuridae.